This 54-nucleotide ribosomal RNA is filed under the name uncultured bacterium. RNAcentral describes it as "partial 16S ribosomal RNA". The record is from RNAcentral.
UCGACGAAGGAGGAGGCCGUCCGGACGGAAGGGUGGGUUGGUAGACGUGGGGUG